CCCUUAGAUGUUCUGGGCCGCACGCGCGCUACACUGACGACUUCAACGAGUUUUUUUCAUUUGAAAAAGUCCUUGGCCGGAAGGUCUGGGUAAUCUUUUAAAAGGUCGUCGUGAUGGGGCUAGAUUCUUGCAAUUAUUAAUCUCCAACGAGGAAUUCCUAGUAAACGCAAGUCAUCAACUUGCAUUGAUUACGUCCCUGCCCUUUGUACACACCGCCCGUCGCACCUACCGAUUGAAUGGUCCGGCGAAGCCUCGGGAUUGUGGCCAGUUCACUUUAUUGGGAGUUGGCUGUGAGAACUUGUCUAAACCUUAUCAUUUAGAGGAAGGUGAAGUCGUAACA
Molecule: ribosomal RNA, 340 nt
Filed under: uncultured eukaryote
Lineage: Eukaryota
Description: partial 18S ribosomal RNA
Rfam family: Eukaryotic small subunit ribosomal RNA
Source: RNAcentral